This 821-nucleotide long non-coding RNA is filed under the name Cricetulus griseus (Chinese hamster). RNAcentral describes it as "lncRNA (ENSCGRG00015032829.1)". Lineage: Eukaryota; Metazoa; Chordata; Mammalia; Rodentia; Cricetidae. The record is from RNAcentral.
GUGAUGGGGUGUUUGUGGGCUCUGUCACACGACCAUUACCUCACUGCUGCGACUCAGAAGGAAGAGCGGAGGACAGUAAGCUGCUGAGCCUGCUUCCGGGAAGUUAUCCAGUCAACGUUACCUGUCUUCACGACAGCUCUUCUAGUAUCUGGAUCCACUGGGCCAUAAAACAGACCAGUCAGCUGCUGUUCACUGCGAACUAUUUGCUUCAUGAAAAUACUGUUCUGUCUUUACCCCAGGGUCCUUAUAAAUAGCAGAAGCCCUUCUGCUAUUUGGGAAUAAUCUCAUUUACAAAGACUAGAACACACCAGGUCUCUCUGAGGCAAGAAGUGGCUAGCUGCAGCAGAACCUGAUGGCUCUCUGGGGUAAAGCCUCCGUGAUAGAGUAGAAUGUUGUUCUGAAUAUUGAGGGAUCCUGGAUAAGGACCACGGUAAUGAUUGCCUGAGGAGAGUGGGCCUGGACUCCAAGAAGGUCCCGAGAGGCGCAGGUGGGAAAGCUCCUGGAGGCCUUGCUGAACCACAGACAUAAACUCAUACUGCUUAUUGAGAUAAGUCAUGCAAGUAUGUCCCGAAGAAUGUCCCGAAGAAGGAGAAUCCAACUGUUUCUACCCAAAGGAGAAAGGAAUGAUGGGUAAAAAUCUAUAAGGAGUUUUCACAUCCCCGCUGACGCAGCAGCACACACGUAUGGGAUGCAUACACGUAUAACAUGCAAGGAUUCAGCCAGGGCUACUCCCUACAUUUUUCUCUCUCCGCAUUGAAAACAUUAGAAACCCUCUACACUAGGCAAGGGGAGAGGGUGUGAAGGAGAAAAGGAAGUUAAAG